GACACCCAGGUCAUUAUGUGUAUUAUUAAAGGCCCUGUACAGUCAACAUGAUGUCCUUCUGUUUUAUAUAUAUUUCCAUACUAUGAGGUUGGAAUAAUACUGUGAAAUUGUGAAAAUUAUGAUAAUGCUCUUUUAGUGUUACAGCUGUUUGAAAAGACUGCCUGAAAUUUCAGCCUGUUUUCUUGGAAUGGAGUUUUGGCCGGCCUGGUGACAUCAGCAGGAGGAGGUGGAUGUUGAUCCUGAUUACCAGCGUUAUUAGGGACUCAAGGUCCUCUCCCAGUUCCUGAGAGGCCAGCUCAUCCUUGAUGGAGUUAGACAACCCCUGGUGGAAAGUGAUGACCAGUGCCUCUGUAUUCCACCCACUCUCGGUGGCGAAGUCAGCCACUGGUCUGGCCCCUUGGCGGAUGUUGAACAGUUGGCUGGCCGCUUCUCAUCCGCCGACUGGGUGGUCAAAAACCCGUCGCAGCUCGGCAGUGAAGGCUAAUAUGGAGCUGCAGGAGGGUGGCUGCUGUUCCCACACUGCUGUUGCCCACGCCAGGGCAAUGCCCGAGAGUAGAGAGAUUAUGUAGGCGAUCAUGGCCCGAUCGGUGUGGAACGAGGAGGACUGUAGCUCGAACACCAGAGUGCACUGGGUGAGGAACCCCUUGCAACCUCCCGGGUGGCCUUCAUUCCGCUCGGGGGCUGGGAUCUUGGUUUCCUGGUGCCACACAGGACCUCUAUACCAGGUGGUGUCAGGGGAAGGCCCUAAAAGUUGUCAAAGACUCUAGCCACCCUAGUCAUAGACUGUUCUCUCUGCCACCGCACGGCAAGCGGUCCCAGAGCACCAAGUCUAGGUCCAAGAGGCUUCUAAACAGCUUCUACCCCCCCUGGCCACGCUAUUGCUAUUUACUGCUGCUCUUUAAUUAUUUGUUUUUCUUAUCUCUGUCACGCCUUGGUCUUAGUAUUUUGUGUUUUCUUUCUUUAUUUGGUCAGGCCAGGGUGUGACAUGAGUUUAUGUUGUGGUGUGUUUUUGUAUUGGGGUUUUAGUAGGUAUAGGGAUUGUGGCUGAGUAGGGUUGUCUAGGAAAGUCUAUGGCUGCCUGAGGCGGUUCUCAAUCAGAGUCAGGUGAUUAUCGUUGUCUCUGAUUGAGAACCAUAUUUAGGUAGCCCGGGUUUCACUGUGUGUUUGUGGGUGAUUGUUCCUGUCUCUGUUGUCACAAGAUAGGCUGUAUAGGUUUUCACGUUCCGUUUGUUGUUUUGUAGAUUUAAGUUAUUUCAUGUAUCGUUCAUCUUCCAUUAAAGAACAUCAGUAACCACCACACUGCAUUUUGGUCCGACUCUCCUUCGACGGAAGAAAGCCGUUACAAUCUCCUACUUUUUUUGUAUUUUCUUAAAAUUGCAUUGUUGGUUCUUAAGCCUACCCCCUACUUUUUUUGAACAUUCUGUUAAAAAUCGCGC
Molecule: long non-coding RNA, 1436 nt
Organism: Oncorhynchus tshawytscha (Chinook salmon)
Lineage: Eukaryota; Metazoa; Chordata; Actinopteri; Salmoniformes; Salmonidae
Source: Ensembl